This 1961-nucleotide long non-coding RNA is filed under the name Homo sapiens (human). RNAcentral's name for it is "HSALNT0160206". Lineage: Eukaryota; Metazoa; Chordata; Mammalia; Primates; Hominidae. The record is from RNAcentral.
AACAAAGAACCUAGACACAGAUCUUACUUAAAAUGGAUCAGAGAACUAAGUAAACUAUAAAACUUCUAGUAGAUAAUAUAGAAGAAAAUCUAGAUGACCUUGGGUAUGGCAGUGACUUUUUAGAUACAACACCACCAAUGACAUCAUCCAUGAAAUAAAUAAUUGAUAAGCUAGACUUCAUUCAAAUUAAAAAUCCUUGUGAAGUGCAAAAUCAAGAGAAUGAACAGACAAGCCACAGAUGGGGAAAAACAUUUGCAAAAGACAUAUCUGAUAAAAUACUGUUAUCCAAAAUACACAAACCAUUAAAACUCAACAGUAAGAAAAUGAACAGUCCAGUUAACAAAGUGACAAAAGGUCUGAAUGACACCUCACCAAAAAAGAUACUACAUACUGUAUGAUUCCAACUAUAUGAUAUUUUGCAAAAGGUAUAAUUAUGGAGACAAUGAAAAAGAUCAGUGGUUGCCAGGGUUUAAAGGGGAGGGAGAGAUUAACAGACAGAACACAGGAUUUUUAGGACAGUGAAACUAGUCUACAUGAUUCUAUAAUGGUGGAUACAUGUCAUUGUACAUUUCUGAAAACCCACAGAUUGUGCAACCUCAAGAGUAAACCCUAAGUAAACUAUGGACUUUGGAUGCUAAUGAUGUGUCAGUGUAGGUUCAUCAAUUGUUACAGUGCUAUUUUUGUAGAAUUGUGGUAGUGGAGGAGACUGUGCACGUAUGAGGCAAGUGGCAAAUGAGAACUCCCUGUACAUUUUGCUCAGCUUUGCUGUGAAUCUAAUACUGGUCUAAAAAAUAAAGUCUAUUUCAAAAAACAAAAACCAAAAAUGGAUGACUUUAACAUAGAUUAGAUUAUGCUGAAGAAAGAAUUGGUGAAUGGGAAUUAAGAUCUGAUGAAUAUAUCCAGAAUAGAUAAAGAAAUAGAAAAUACACACAAUUUAGAGAUAAAGAAGCUAGUGUUAGACGAUUUAACACAUUUCAUUAGAGUUUCAGAAGAAGCAAAAAAGGAGAAGCAAUGUUUGAAAACAAAAUAAAUUACAAUUUUCUGGAAUAGUGAAAGGCAGAUAUUUGUAAAUUCAGAAACCUCAAUGAAUUAUCAGACAACUUAAUAAAAUAAAUUCAGAGUUAGACCCACUCUAUGCACCAAAGACAAAGAAAGGGUCUUAAAAUCAUGCAGAGGGGAAACAAAGAGAUGACCUAAUGGAAAUAAUAAUUUCACAGGUAACUUCUCAACAGCAACAGUGAAAGGGAGAAGACAGUGGGGACAAUCCCCUCAAAAAACGAAGAGUUUUUACCAUCAAUUGAAAUUUUACAUCCACUGAAACCAUCUUUGAAGAAUGAGGGUGAAAUAAAGAUAUUCUAGGAAAAAAAUACUCAGCUGUACCUCAAAUACUAGAAAAUAUGUGUGUGUGUCUCUGUGUGUGUUUGUGUGUGUGUGUGCGAAAUCAAAGUGGUCCAAAGUCCAUGUAUUUUCUAGUUUAAAGUUGUUUAACUUGAGACUUUGAGUAUGGAUAUUAUCAUUAUAGGUAGCUAUUAAAAGAAUACAUACAGUAUAUAAGUUUUCAACAAGAAGCCUCAAAAAGAGGAUAAGAGGAAAAUCCUAAUCACAUGAAGUAGACAAGAAAGGAAGCAAAAAUCCCAGAAGAAUCCAGGGUAAUAGUAAGUACAAAAUAAGAUGUUAAAAACAAACUAUGUAAUCACAUUCAGAGUAAAAAUAAUAGGCUGGGCGUUUUGGCUCAUGUCUGUAAUUCCAGCGCUUUGGGAGGUUAAGACAAAAGAAUUGCUUGAGGCCAGGAGUUAGAGAACAGCCUAGGCAACAUAGUGAGACCCCCAUAUCUACUAAAAAAAAAAAAAAAUUAGCUGGGCAUGGUGGUAUGAGCCUGUAGUCCUAGCUACUUGGAAGGCUGAGGCAAGAGGGUGGCUUGAGUCCAGAAGGUUGAGGCUGCAGUGAGCCAUGAUUGCACC